CAGUAGCCGCGGUAAUACGUAGGGUGCGAGCGUUGUCCGGAAUUACUGGGCGUAAAGCGUGCGUAGGCGGUUUGUUAAGUCUGCUGUGAAAUCCCCGGGCUCAACCUGGGAAUGGCAGUGGAUACUGGCAAGCUAGAGUGUGUCAGAGGAUGGUGGAAUUCCCGGUGUAGCGGUGAAAUGCGUAGAGAUCGGGAGGAACAUCAGUGGCGAAGGCGGCCAUCUGGGACAACACUGACGCUGAGGCACGAAAGCGUGGGGAGCAAACAGGAUUAGAUACCCCUGUAGUCCCUGUCUCUUAUAC
This 301-nucleotide ribosomal RNA is filed under the name uncultured bacterium. Its description in RNAcentral is "partial 16S ribosomal RNA". It matches the Rfam family "Bacterial small subunit ribosomal RNA", at positions 509 to 807 of the family's 1533-position model. The record is from RNAcentral.